RNAcentral lists this microRNA precursor (65 nucleotides) under Mustela putorius furo (domestic ferret). RNAcentral's name for it is "miRNA (ENSMPUG00000022559.1)". The record is from RNAcentral. Lineage: Eukaryota; Metazoa; Chordata; Mammalia; Carnivora; Mustelidae.
UGUAUGUAUGUGUGCAUGUGUAUAAUGUAAUGUAUGUUUAUAUAUUAUGUAUGUAUAUAUACAUA